GUCUAUGGCAAUGCCAUCCUGAACGUUCCUGAUCUUGUCUGAUCUUGGAAGAUAAGCAAGGCCUGGUUAGUACUUGGAUGGGAGACCACCUAGGAAUACCAGGUGCUGUAGGCA
Molecule: ribosomal RNA, 114 nt
Filed under: Pteropus alecto (black flying fox)
Lineage: Eukaryota; Metazoa; Chordata; Mammalia; Chiroptera; Pteropodidae
Source: RNAcentral